AGUGAACGCUGGCGGUAGGCCUAACACAUGCAAGUCGAACGGCAGCACAGUAAGAGCUUGCUCUUACGGGUGGCGAGUGGCGGACGGGUGAGGAAUACAUCGGAAUCUACUUUUUCGUGGGGGAUAACGUAGGGAAACUUACGCUAAUACCGCAUACGACCUACGGGUGAAAGCAGGGGAUCUUCGGACCUUGCGCGAUUGAAUGAGCCGAUGUCGGAUUAGCUAGUUGGCGGGGUAAAGGCCCACCCAGGCGACGAUCCGUAGCUGGUCUGAGAGGAUGAUCAGCCAAACUGGAACUGAGACACGGUCCAGACUCCUACGGGAGGCAGCAGUGGGGAAUAUUGGACAAUGGGCGCAAGCCUGAUCCAGCCAUACCGCGUGGGUGAAGAAGGCCUUCGGGUUGUAAAGCCCUUUUGUUGGGAAAGAAAAGCAGCAGGUUAAUACCCCGCUGUUCUGACGGUACCCAAAGAAUAAGCACCGGCUAACUUCGUG
This 492-nucleotide ribosomal RNA is filed under the name uncultured bacterium. RNAcentral describes it as "partial 16S ribosomal RNA". It matches the Rfam family "Bacterial small subunit ribosomal RNA", at positions 29 to 507 of the family's 1533-position model. The record is from RNAcentral.